GACAUUUCCUUGUAGGACAGGCCAGAAGUUCCUCCCCUUACCAGGAGUGGUAGAAUCAGCAACAUCCAUGGCCAGCAGAACUUCACUGCCUUGAAAGCUUCUUAGUAAAUGUUAAGCUGAAUGGGACUGCAAGAAACAGCUGUGCUAGAGCUCCGAUUCUGUAGCAAAAACAACUGUACAUCAAAAAACAUUUAUCCAGGGUCUGAACCAGCCCACAGAACUCAGAAUAGUUAACAAGACAGUUUUCACCGUUGUGAAUUGCUGAAGUGUAGUGAACCUGCUUUGUACUCCUUAGACAAGUUCACCCAGCCAUGAACCCAUGUUCCUCACACGCUCAACAAGUAAACAGCUGCCUGCUCUCCGGACCCCUGACAGCUGACGCAGAUACUUCAUACAGAGAAAUGGAGAAGAAGGAAAGGGUUUUUGAACUCAACAUUCAGAGUCAGCCCUUGUCCUUGACAGGGUGAUUGAAGAACUCAGUGAGGAACUGAGCAGUUCCUCAGGUCCCUUUGGCAGCGAGGAAUUCAGGCAUGACGAGAGCAAAACUCAAAAAGUUGUUGGUGUUCUUCUACCAAGCAGUGAAUCUACCUUCAGAGACAUCUUUGAUGUGACAAGUGUAUUCCAAAGUGUACCAGAGGUAAAGCAACAGUGGAUCAAUGACAGGGGAAGGUCAUUUAAGACUGACAGUCCUGAUUUUACACUGGCCUGACCAAAGAAUGCAAGUGAACAUUCCUUUAAAGUAUUUUUGUAAUUUUAGUGGGGCUGCUAGUGAGAAAAGUGAUUUUUCCUGACACCAGAAGCAGAUGAAAAAGUUAAUGCUUCUGUGGAAGUACUGGGAGGCAGACGUAGUCCCUAAAGACAAUACAUGUAGGCUUUGGAUUCCUAUCUAUAAAGCCAUUGUGGAUACUACGUACACCGGUAUUUCUGAAUCUCAAAUACUAACAAUAAAUUCAUUCCAUAAAAUGAAUACCUACAUUUAUGCACUACUCCCCACUGUAAAGUGUUUAUUAAUAGAAGGAGGCAGCCAAUCUUUCACAACUUGCCAGCUUUAAGGACAUCUGUGUUAGAGUUGAUGUCAUUGUACGCAUCCUGUGAUUACUUUUAUGUGGUCUCACAGUUUAAUGUCAAGACUAAAUUUUUAGUUUGUUCAUUCGACGUCGACUAAAACAAAUUUGUUCUUUCAUUUUCUUGCUUCAUUUUUCAAACUGGAGCAUAAUAAACCAUUUCUUCAGAUUCUGAGAGAAAAAAGGCAGAUUUUACACAAGAAAACAAUACAAAAGUUUAGUAUUUCAGAAUAUUAUGAUAAACAUCAGAUUUCAGCUUACAGUGAAUUUUGUAACAAAGUAGUAAACAGGGAUUUGGAAGAGAAAUAGUGAGAGGUCUCUUACUAACAUUUUAAUACAGUUGAAUUUGAAAAGUUUAUGAAAGUUUCUGUCAUGUUUAAUUACUGUAUUUACGAGAGCAUUUCCCAACACAGAAAAGGGCUAUACUUAGUAACAGCCAGCCUGCCAUCCUGCCUCAUUUUUCAGCAUUCCUGUUUUUCUUGGAGGUCAUUUUUAAUGACUAUGUACAGGCACCUGAAAAAUCAGGUGCAUAAAUUAACUACCAAUUAAUAAAAAAAAAAACAAAAGAAGAAAAUAUAAUUACUAGUUUCUAUAUAUAAGUCCACUCAUUAUCAUGUGGAAUGUGUGCAUGUUUAUCACGUAGCAAUUACUGAGGCACAAAAGAAAAGUGGCAUUUUCAUUGUGUUGCAGUCCUGAAACUGCAUAUAACAUGAAGCAAAAGAACCUGCUCUCAAAUUUAUAUGUCAGUGCUUAAUGUUGAAAGAAUGUUAUCACAAUUUAAUAUAGCAAAUGCUUAAUUACUUCUGUGUAACAUUUUCCCCCAUUUGCUAUCACUGUCUGUCUGGAGUGGCUGUUGACCUAGUUUUCAAUUAAUUGCAAUGAGAAUUUUUUUCAUGCCUUUAAAGCAAUGAAUUUUUCUUUCCUGAUUAGACACGACAACUGGAAUUAUGAAUUCGUAAUUGAUAAACUUUGUUGCCACUAUCAAUAGAGAACUGGCAUUACUACAAAAAAAAUUCUUAUAAAUACUAAAGGCAUCAAAAAACAUAAAGAAUGUUGAGAUUCUGUGAUUCUGUGAACAACCAGGAUGCCUCUCCAGUAGACAGCAUUUUAGUCUUUCUUUUAAUAUUUCAGGUAAGUUUACUCUUUUUUUUAAAAUUUAACUGCAGGAAUAGAAAAAAGAAAACAACCUGGUAGUGACAAUGUCCCUUUUAUAUAAUAAGCUUUGGUUCAGUUCUUCAGUUGUCUUUUAACUCACCUAUCUUAAUCUUAUGUAUCUUAAUUCUCACUGAAACCCAGGAGAAUGUAUAUAUCCAAAUUCCUUUGUAAAUAUGAUGCCUAGAAGUGAGAACCCUACUCAAAAAUGUUGAGGUUCUAAAACUCAAGUUUUCCACUGCCUGAGGGGAUUCAAGCCAAGUAUUCUCAGAGUUGGUCCUGCCUACAUCCAGAGUCAAAAUACCACUCACCCAAAUGUAGAAUUUAGCUGGUUUUAUGGCUGCAUAUGUUUCAUCAAUUUUAUUACGGUGGUUCCAGGAUUUUAAUGCUAAUGAGACACACAGAUGGAAACUAAAAUCCACAUAAGGUAAAUGCUCCCAAGUGCCUGUGAUCUAUCCAUUGUGCAUCCAGGCAUAUUUCCUUCUACUUUUAAAACUGUUUUUUUACUUUUUUUUACUUUUUUUUCCGCAGAAACACCUCUCAAAGUAAACAUUAUAAGAGCAAAAGGCUAGUAAUUAAGUUGUUACUGACACCUCAGAAUACAGGAUGACUGCAUGCAAUUUCAGUAACAUGUAGACUGUAACUUAUAGCAUUAGAGACAUUUACUGUAUGCUUUUUUAUUUUCAGCACUGUAAUAGCUAUGGACUGUAUUCAGCACCUGCUGGUAAAAUUAGCCUCAGCUAACUGCAUGUUAUUUGUCUCUCUCUAUUUCAUUAUUCACCACAAUUUUUUGUUGAUGUCUACACUGUUAGCACCAUGUGAAUCACCUUAAAGCAAUUUAACCAGCCAAGUUCUCCUGUCACUUAAUCCUGGCCAACUUAGGCUACCCUGGUAUUAAGUGAAUGCAUAAUGUAGCUCAAUGGAUGAAAAUUAAAGCAGAUCAUGUUGUAAUAUAAA
Molecule: long non-coding RNA, 3173 nt
Organism: Passer domesticus (house sparrow)
Lineage: Eukaryota; Metazoa; Chordata; Aves; Passeriformes; Passeridae
Exons: 5
Source: RefSeq, a predicted model, not a curated record